GAUGAACGCUGGCGGCGUGCCUAACACAUGCAAGUCGAACGGAGCUGCUUUGAUGAAGUUUUCGGAUGGAUUUAAAACAGCUUAGUGGCGGACGGGUGAGUAACGCGUGGGUAACCUGCCUCACACUGGGGGAUAACAGUUAGAAAUAGCUGCUAAUACCGCAUAAGCGCACGGUUCCGCAUGGAACAGUGUGAAAAACUCCGGUGGUGUGAGAUGGACCCGCGUCUGAUUAGCCAGUUGGCGGGGUAACGGCCCACCAAAGCGACGAUCAGUAGCCGGCCUGAGAGGGUGAACGGCCACAUUGGGACUGAGACACGGCCCAAACUCCUACGGGAGGCAGCAGUGGGGAAUAUUGCACAAUGGGGGAAACCCUGAUGCAGCGACGCCGCGUGAGUGAAGAAGUAUUUCGGUAUGUAAAGCUCUAUCAGCAGGGAAGA
This 437-nucleotide ribosomal RNA is filed under the name uncultured bacterium. Its description in RNAcentral is "bacterial SSU rRNA". It matches the Rfam family "Bacterial small subunit ribosomal RNA", at positions 28 to 448 of the family's 1533-position model. The record is from RNAcentral.